RNAcentral lists this long non-coding RNA (232 nucleotides) under Manihot esculenta (cassava). RNAcentral's name for it is "long non-coding RNA (MESC_LNC010328)". The record is from RNAcentral. Lineage: Eukaryota; Viridiplantae; Streptophyta; Magnoliopsida; Malpighiales; Euphorbiaceae.
CACCAAUCCCACACUCACAUCCUCCUGUCCAGCCUCCCGUGGCUUCUCCACCAAAAAAUCAACUAACACCGUCUCAUACACCAAAAUACCCACAACCACCUGCGGUUCAGCCACCAAAACACUCACAUCCACCGGUUGCUCAACCACCAAAACACCCACAGCCCCCGGUUAAACCACCGGCUCCGUCACCAAGCUAUCACUUCCCAAGGAGCCUCAUUGCAGUGCAAGGUAU